Molecule: long non-coding RNA, 1485 nt
Filed under: Heterocephalus glaber (naked mole-rat)
Lineage: Eukaryota; Metazoa; Chordata; Mammalia; Rodentia; Bathyergidae
Description: lncRNA (ENSHGLG00100049664.1)
Source: RNAcentral
GGAGGGGGUGCUCACACCUGCAUAGGAAUGGGUGCCAGGGCUCGUGUAAUGCAGAACUAAUUUGCCCUGCAGACUUUGUGACUUUCAGAUGAACAUUUCUUCCUUAAGAAAUGUUGCUUUCUACAGGAGAGCACGGUCAUGCAGUGAUGUUGAGGCAAGUGUGAGGACUAAGCUCUCCAGUGGAACUGGGAAAGGGGGACUUGCCUGCGGCACUUUGAAGGAAGCCUGUGCUGACUCAGUCUGUGAGUCCUGUUCAUUUCUGUUAGUGAGGGUCUGAAGCAGUUGGGCUCUGACACUCAGAAGGCAUCAAAUUAUUAUCCAAAAUAUCACAAGCCAUUUGCUUUUUACCAAAAGCCUCAUACUGAAGCCAUGAGUUUUUCCCUGAAAAGCAGCUCAGAGGCUGGUCCCCCAGGCAUGGGCACCUUGUAAAGCGUAUUUCUCACUUGUCAGUGAAAAGAAGGAAGAAUACAUCUGAGACCAGGCGUCCUACAGCUUCUGUGAAAAGUCUCCAUGGUGAAGUCCAGGCUGAGGCUCGCUGGGAACAGUGCACAGUGAAUGUUGUAUGGGGACUGGAUCCCAAUGAGUGAAUCCACAUCUCAGAGGGUUUCUGUCACAAAUAUACCCAGGUGUGUUUUGUUUUGUUUUGUUUUUUGUUUUUUGGUACCGGGGAUCGAACUCGGGUCCUUGGGCUUGCAAAGCAGGCGGUGGAACCAUUGAGCUAAAUCCCCCAGCCCAAUACCCAGGUUUCACUGCUGCUGUUCAGAAGAAUCAUCAGUCUAAGUCAGUUUUACAUCCUUCUGUUUGAAAGGAGGAUGAAAGUUCAACAAGCAUUUUCGAGCAGCAUGACAAACUUGUCUGAUUGCUCUGAAUCUGUUUUCAUUGUCAGGACUUGAACAGAUACGUUGUGUGAUCAAAAUAUACAGUGAAUCUUUAAAUUUUAAAGAACUGGGGGGGAAUUGAAAUGUUUUAUGUACAUGUACCAAUCCCAUACAAUGAGUAUAAUCAUUGAGUACUGGAAAGAUGUACUAAUAAAAGUCAAGUGAAUAAAAGUUUUAAAAACCUUCAAAAUAAAUUUAAAAUGUUUAUUAUAGUAAAAGGCACAUUGCCAUUAAUCCCUCUCAAAAUUCUCUCCCCUCUCUUCCAACACACCCCAUGGUACUUGAAACUUUCUGAAGCAGUUCUGGAGUCUUCUUUCCAGAGUGUCUUUAUGCAGUAUGUUCAAAAAUACAGUAAAUAACACUGCUGAGUUCCUCCAAUGGAAAGGCAGGCUCAUAAAAAUAAGAUGUCUUCACCUUAUUCACGGGAUUUGACACUGGGCAACUUCUGGCUCUUCCCUAAAGUCACAAUGUCCCUGAAACAUUUGAAUUGAUUCAGAACAUCAAGGCAGCCAGAACAGCACAACUACAGACAUUCACAAAAGAAGACUUCCCACAACUGCUUCAGAAAGUAGCAAGAAGGAUGGAAUGUGUAUGUUCAAAGUGAGGG